Regulatory RNA element from Desulfuromonas acetoxidans DSM 684, 76 nucleotides. It matches the Rfam family "c-di-GMP-I-GGC riboswitch aptamer". NCBI's taxonomy places the organism in Bacteria, Pseudomonadati, Thermodesulfobacteriota, Desulfuromonadia, Desulfuromonadales, Desulfuromonadaceae. The record is from Rfam.
CAAGAUAAAGGCAAAACCGAAGUAAUUCGGUGACGCAAAGCCACGGGUCCAUAACUGGAUCGCCGGGUUGCUCAAC